Molecule: ribosomal RNA, 363 nt
Filed under: Pseudomonas aeruginosa
Lineage: Bacteria; Pseudomonadati; Pseudomonadota; Gammaproteobacteria; Pseudomonadales; Pseudomonadaceae
Description: bacterial LSU rRNA
Rfam family: Bacterial large subunit ribosomal RNA
Source: RNAcentral
CUUUGCACUGGACUUUGAGCCUGCUUGUGUAGGAUAGGUGGGAGGCUUUGAAGCGUGGACGCCAGUUCGCGUGGAGCCAUCCUUGAAAUACCACCCUGGCAUGCUUGAGGUUCUAACUCUGGUCCGUGAUCCGGAUCGAGGACAGUGUAUGGUGGGCAGUUUGACUGGGGCGGUCUCCUCCUAAAGAGUAACGGAGGAGUACGAAGGUGCGCUCAGACCGGUCGGAAAUCGGUCGUAGAGUAUAAAGGCAAAAGCGCGCUUGACUGCGAGACAGACACGUCGAGCAGGUACGAAAGUAGGUCUUAGUGAUCCGGUGGUUCUGUAUGGAAGGGCCAUCGCUCAACGGAUAAAAGGUACUCCGGG